AGCAUCCCUCGGGCGAUGGUGACGUUUGGUUUUCGCAACUAGCUCCCGCCCGUUGUGUCUGUGUGUGACCUGUCAAAAACCGAAAAAGUUCACAUGUGGUUUGUUCUAUAGAGUAUCCAGAAGCUGCCAUAGGAAAUAUUUCGGAAUAACUUGAAUACUUACCGUAUACUUACCGUGAGUAACCUGGAAAAAGAAGUUAAAUUAUAAUCUAUAAAUACUUACCUUAAAAUUGAUAAUACUUACCUAGGAAAGCAGAAGUAGAAAGGAGAAAAGGAAGAUAGUUGGAAAGCUGGUCGGAAGAGUAGUUAGCGAGGGAGGAAAAUUUGAAAGUAAGAGAGUAAAAUUAUAUGCGAAAGAUCAAAUUUAAUAAAAAUUUAUAUAGUUUUAGCCUGCAUAAAAAAGGUGCUUGCUCAUUAUUUCUUUCCGUUCGGGGACGACCGAACAAACUAAAAUUUCAAAGUUUGGAUCGCACCUCACCCACGGCACGAUGAGCGACCAGGAAUUAGACUACACUACCACACCGUGCGGCAAGUGCGGAUUAGCUCCAAAGGAACUAGGUGGAAUGGUUGCAUGCGACCACUGCAACAAUUGGUAUGAUUACGCUUGCGCGGGUGUAACCGAUACCGUUAAGAGGAAGAAAAAAUGGUUCUGCGAUAAUGCAGUUUGUGUGGCGGCAGCCAAAAAGCGCACGAAGAAGGACGCAAAUCCUCAAUCGACGGCAGAUGAAUCGGAUGCCGGAAGUGUCAAAUCGUCCACAGUGCCGUCCGCAGAUGAACAAAUAAAGGCCAUGGAAGAAGAACAGCGGCGGCUCGAGGCGGACUGGGACAAACAGAUGCUGGUGAAAGAGAAGCAGCUAGAGUUUCAGGCCGCAAUGAAAAAGAAGAAGUUCCUGCAGGAACAAGCACUGCGCCGAAAGCAAAUGCAGCUAGAGGAAGAGUGGCGCUGUUUCGAGCUAGCAGAACUAGAGCGCGAAAACCAGCUGCAGCUGCAGGUAAAACACGAGCACCUGAAGCGAGUUCAGAAACUGGAAAAAGAUUUUCGGGAGCAGAUGUCAACUGUGGAUAAUCAGUUGGACACAAUGAAAAUGGAACGGCCACAGAAACAUUCCCAACCGAUUACCGUUAAGAGUCAAAGUACACCGCUACUAGCUCCGGCGGGAAAGACGGGUAUUUGUGUUGAGUCGGAAAUGGAUGAUACGGAGGAGAGUUCCAGUUCGGAGGAAGAAACUGAUAAGGAACCGGACGAGAAGGUUAAGCAGGGUUCCAGACCAACAAAGGGCCAACUUGCUGCCAGGCACGGGAUCGGUAAACACCUUCCUCUAUUUUCGGGAAAGCCGGAUGAUUGGCCACUGUUUUAUGCGGCGUAUAACUCUUCUACAAAGGCGUGCGGGUUUAGCGAUGUCGACAAUUUAGCACGUCUGCAACAAUGCCUAAGGGGCGACGCACUGGAGCUUGUACGAGGACAACUGCUUCUUCCGAAAUCGGUCCCUCGUGUUAUUGAGAAGCUUCGCCAACACUUUGGUCGUCCCGAGCAAUUACUAGAUCGUCUGUUGGAACGCGUUAAAGAAUUGCCGGCACCGAAGAAUCUGAAAGGGUUCAUUCCGUUCGCCAACGUAGUAGAGCAGCUUUGCGAUCACGUGGAAGCAGCGGACCUUAAGGAGCAUCUGAAGAACCCGUUGCUUAUACAGGGCCUGAUAAAAAAGCUUCCGGAUGCGGAGAAAAGACAGUGGGCUGAUAUCAAACGAGCUCGAGAGGGAAGAAAGAUUUCUCUUCGUACAGUUACGGACUUUCUCCUACGAAUUGCGGAUGACGCGCGGGAAGCAGAAGUGGACAUCGAGCGUACCACGGAGACGAGAUUCUCAGGCGAACAUUCCGGUCGAAAGCGAAAAGAGAAAGGAGCAGUAUUCAGUCACGCCGAGGAAGGAAAUUCGAAUACAGUCGUCAGCCACCGAUUAGGGUUGAAACCAUGCAAAGUGUGCCAGCGUACCGACCACCGAUUGCGGUUUUGUCACGAUUUCAAGAACUGGUCACACGCCGAGCGCGUAGCAAUGGUGACCCGCGAUAAGCUAUGCAAGCUAUGCCUCGGAGAACACGGAGGACAAUGCCGGUUCAAGUUUCGUUGCAACGUUGGCUCCUGUAAGGAGGCACACAAUCCGCUCAUUCACCCGGUCAGUACGGUGGGUAUUAGUGCACACAUUCACUCGUGCAACCCCCUGCUGUUUCGGAUAAUUCCCAUACAACUACAUGGUAGGGAUCGGACGCUGACGGUUUUGGCAUUUUUGGACGAAGGUGCUUCCGUCACAUUGAUCGAAGGUAAGCUAGCCGAUAGAUUGGGUAUUGUCGGGGCCGAAGAAAAGCUUACAAUCAAAUGGACUGCCGACUAUUCACGUACUGAGAAGAACUCAAGAAAAAUGAAUGUGUGGGCUUCAGCAGUUGGUGUUGGAGAAAAAAUGUUGCUCAGAACGGUUCGCACUGUGGGCAAGUUAAUGCUGCCUCAUCAGAAAUUGGAUGCUGCAGUACUUUCAGCCCGCUAUCAAUACAUGAGCGAUCUGCCGAUCGCAUCGUAUGAAGGCCAGCCAGAGCUUCUUAUCGGUCUCAACAAUGUUCAUGCUUUCGCGCCCAUGGAAGUGAAGAUAGGUACCGUCGCUGACCCGAUUGCCGUCCGUUGCAAACUCGGAUGGACAGUAUAUGGUCCGAAUCAAGCGAGCCAUACUACAGAGAGAGGGUACGUAUGCUUGCAUCAUGAUGUAACCAACGAAGACAUACAUGGUUUACUGAAAAGCCACUAUGCAUUAGAGGAAUCUGUAGUAGCAACGGCCCAAGAAUCGGCAGAGGACAAAAAAGCGAUGGAGAUUAUGGAGCGGACCACGAAACGCAUCGGAGAACGGUUCCAGACCGGUUUGCUCUGGAAGGAGAACAAUCAGCGAUUUCCGGAGAGUAUUCAGAUGGCGCUGAGGAGAAAUUUGCAGCUGGAGCGGAAAUUAAUGAAAAAUCCGGAAUUAUACACGAAAGUGCGAAUGCAAACCGAUGAAGAUGCCAGAAGAGUUGUUCUGUUUCACGAAUUCAUAAAGAUGGAGGCGAUUUCGAGAUGGAACAGGCUGCUGAGAGUGACCGCCACAGUGUUGCGUUUUAUCGGAAAUUGCAAGCGCAAACAGAAAGGGUUGCCGAUACUCACAGCAAAGGCAACGAUGAAUCAACAAUUAAUGCUGAAGACUGCACACCCCGCAGUACAAACACCGUUGCAGAAAAACGAAUUACUGGAGGCGGAGAAAGUUUUGUGGAAACAAGCACAAUGGAACAGUUUCCCCGAUGAGAUGAGCGUGCUGACGAGCAACCUACAAUUAGCCCUUGGCCAGAAAGCAGAACGAAUCCCGAAAAGAAGUGGCCUAUACAAAUAUGCGCCGACGCUCGACGAAGAUGGCGUGCUACGAGUAGAUGGUCGACUGGUGAAUGCGGAAGCAAUGUCCUUCAAUCAGAGGUAUCCUGUUAUCUUGAGCCGUUUUCAUACCGUAACGAAGAAAAUCAUCCAGUAUUAUCACGAGCAGUUUGGACAUGCGAAUAGAGAGACAGUGUUCAACGAGAUACGGAAGAAGUUUGAAAUCCCGAACCUUCGUGCAGCAGUCUCUAGAGUAGCCGGUGAAUGCGUAUGGUGCAAAGUGCAUCGGUGCGUUCCACAUACUCCGCGCAUGGCACCACUGCCGGUUCAGCGUGUUACGCCUGGAAAACGCCCCUUCAACUCUGUCGGCGUGGAUUACUUGGGCCCUGUGGAGGUGACAGUUGGACGCCGAAAGGAAAAAAGGUGGGUCGCCGUUUUCACUUGCUUAGCGGUGCGCGCAGUGCACCUAGAAGUGGUGCAUUCACUUUCAACGCAGUCGUGUCUCAUGGCACUAAGCAGAUUUGCCAGUAGGUAUGGGAAGCCAGAAGAGAUAUUCUCCGACAAUGCGACUUGUUUUCGAGGAGCGUGGAACGAAAUGGUAAAGGCCAAACUACAAAUCAACAGAAAGUGCGCCGAGGAAUUCAUCAGUUCAACUACUGCCUGGUAUUUCAAUCCCCCCGGCACCCCGCACAUGGGCGGUGUUUGGGAACGGAUGGUGCGGUCUGUAAAGGAAUCGAUGAAAGCGCUGGAUGACGGAAGGAAACUCACUGAUGAAAUCCUGAAAACAACAGUAGCAGAAGCAGCUGAUAUGAUUAACACGCGUCCACUCACGUACAAGCCUCAGGAACCCGCAGGCGAGGAAGCACUAACGCCAAACCAUUUCCUGCGAGGUGCAGUGACCAGUGCGGAUCUCCAGGUGGAGCCAGUGAGUGCAGCGGAGGCUCUACGAAACGUUUACAAACGUGCCCAGUACCUAAGCGACCGUAUGUGGGAGCGGUGGAUCACCGAGUAUCUACCUACGAUCAACAAACGCAGCAAAUGGUUUGACGAUAAGCGACAGUUGAAUGUUGGGGAUUUAGUUUUUCUGGUGGAUGGGAAAAUUCGGAAGAAUUGGAGGCGUGGGAAGAUAGUAGAAGUGUUUCCGGGAACAGACGGGACCAUUAGACAAGUCAGCGUGAGGACAACAGACGGGAAGCUACAUCGCCGGGGAGCGGUUAACAUUGCGGUAAUGGAGAUAGGUGAAGGUAAAUCCGGAACAAGAAGCAACGCCGGAUGUUACGGGCCGGGGUCUGUUACCACGACUGAACCUGCAAGCGGAGCAUCCCUCGGGCGAUGGUGACGUUUGGUUUUCGCAACUAGCUCCCGCCCGUUGUGUCUGUGUGUGACCUGUCAAAAACCGAAAAAGUUCACAUGUGGUUUGUUCUAUAGAGUAUCCAGAAGCUGCCAUAGGAAAUAUUUCGGAAUAACUUGAAUACUUACCGUAUACUUACCGUGAGUAACCUGGAAAAAGAAGUUAAAUUAUAAUCUAUAAAUACUUACCUUAAAAUUGAUAAUACUUACCUAGGAAAGCAGAAGUAGAAAGGAGAAAAGGAAGAUAGUUGGAAAGCUGGUCGGAAGAGUAGUUAGCGAGGGAGGAAAAUUUGAAAUUUUAGCCUGCAUAAAAAAGGUGCUUGCUCAUUAUUUCUUUCCGUUCGGGGACGACCGAACAAC
Topomyia yanbarensis is the source of this 5085-nucleotide RNA transcript. RefSeq lists it as uncharacterized. Lineage: Eukaryota; Metazoa; Arthropoda; Insecta; Diptera; Culicidae. The record is from RefSeq and is a predicted model, not a curated record. The transcript has 2 exons.